AAAUAAGAUUUGUAUAAUAUGGAUAUGUGUAAUUUUGUUUAUGUUAACAAAUAUAAAAAUAUAAAUAAACAAUGUAAUUUGUGUGAUAGUACAACAAAUACAAUAAGUAGUUGCAAUACUCAAGUGGAUACUGUUUAUAGUAACACAUAUAAUGAGAAUGAGCCAUUAUGUCAAAAUAUUUCAUUAGAUAAUAAAUUACAUGUAUACGAUAAUAAUUUUAUAAAUAAUACAUAUAUUAAAACAAAUUAUAUUAACAAUUACAGUAAUAGUAUUAAUAACAAUUACAGUAAUAGUAGUACAGUUAAAUGUACAAAUAGUACUAGUGAUUGUUGUGAUAGCACAAACAAAUUAAAUAUUUUUAAUUAUUCAUCAUAUAUACAAGAAUAUGAAAACAUAAAAUAUAAAAAUAAAUAUAAAACUAUAAAAUACAAGUCUUAUCAUAAUAAUAAUAAUAAUAAUAAUAAUAAUAAUAAUAAUGACAAUAAUGACAAUAAUGACAAUAAUGACAAUAAUAACAAUAAUAAUAAUGUAAAGUCUUUUUUUGUAAAAAAUGAAACAGAAAAAGUGUACAAUCAGACUACAUACAGCAAAGCAACAUACAACCAAACAACGCAUAACCAGGUAUUAUAUAACCAGGUAGCACAUAACCAUACAUCAUGUAAUCAACCCCCGUACAAACAAACAAUGCUCAAUCAGACAACGCAAAAUCAGGCAACCUAUAACGAAACAACGCAAAACCAAACAACCUAUAAUGAAACAACGUACAACGAAACAACAUAUAACGAAAUACUAAACUUAAAUAAUCAAACGAUACAAAGUAAAAAUGUUUAUAACGAAAAAAUAUACGAUAUAAAAAAAUACGAUAUAAACACAUAUGAUGCAAAUGUAUGUGAUUUAGACAAGUGUAAAUACAAAAAUAUGUAUAAUGAUGAAAAUAUAAAUAAUAAAAAUGGAAAUAAUAACGAUGUUUUUGUAACAUAUGAUAAAUUAUAUAGUAUAGAUAAUGCAAAUGUAGAAAAAAAAUAUAAUAAUAAUGAUACAGAUAAUAAUUCAAAACUUUAUAAAUAUGUUAAACAUUAUAACAAAGCAAAUGUAAAUAUUAAUGAAAAUGUUUAUGUAGAAAAAGUUUAUAAUAAUGAAAAAAGUUUGUUUAAUAUUUCUUUAUUUGAUAUGAACACAUUGCCUAAAAUUUAUAAAAAAUGUGAAAUUAAAUUAAAUAAUUUAAAACGAGGAUUAAAAAAGAAUGGAAUAUGUAAUGAAAAAUUCACUAAACUAAAAAAAGAGUCAAUUUUAUGUAAUAGUGAUGUAUAUACUAAAAAUAUGUAUAAAAAUUAUACAUGUAAUUGUUUUAAUGUAUAUAAACAAAUUUAUAAAAAUUCUAAAUAUAAUCAAUCAGAUUUAAAACAAAUACAUACAGAACUAAUAUAUCUAAUCAUUAAAUAUUUAUAUUAUGAAAGAAUACUUCCAGAAGUUAAUGAAAUAAAAAGAAAAAUUAACAAAUAUUUUCCAGAAUGUAUAAUAUUAAACAAUAACUUUAUAAAUAUAUGUAAAGAAGAUCAAGAAAAAAAAUUUGAAGUUAAUAGAUCUACUUCAAUAUAUGAAAAAGAUGAUAAAAAAGGAAAAGUAAUGUAUAAAAAACCAUUUAAUAGUGAAAAUUUAUGUAUAUAUUUAAGAGGUGUGCCAAGGGACUUCUUUAUAAAUCCCAAUGAUGACACAGAAAACAUUUCAUUGUACAUACCCUUAAUUUUUAUUCACAUAAUAGAUAGAUUUAGGAUACAAUCACCUGAUAAUAACCACAAGGGAGGAAGGUAUAUCUUAGCUGAGACACUAAAAUAUACAGGUCCAUAUAUAUUUAGGACUAUGAAAUUAGGAAGAAUUAUUCAUAUUUUACAAAAAUGUAUAGAUUUGAAUAUUUUAUCUUAUUUUAAUAAUAACAUAAUCCCAAUUUUUACAUCUAUGUCUAUAUCGAAAACGUACAUUUCAAAAAUGUAUGUAAAUCAAACACCUGCCUUAAAAAAUCAUAAAGAAAAUUCUAUAAAUUUAAUAAAAAAUAGAAUAAGUUAUUUAUUAUAUAGUUAUUCGGAAGAUAAAACAAAAACAAAAGGUAUUAUGUUUUUACUUGUGUAAAAAAUAAUGGAAAGCACUUACAUUUGUUUUAUUUACAUUUUUUAUUUGUAAAAUUAUAGUCCUGAUAGUGGUAGUAACAGUAGUAACAGUAGUAGUAACAGUAGUAACAGUAGUAGCAGUAGUAGUAACAGUAGUAGUAACAGUAGUAGUAACAGUAGUAGUAAC
Molecule: long non-coding RNA, 2292 nt
Filed under: Piliocolobus tephrosceles (Ugandan red Colobus)
Lineage: Eukaryota; Metazoa; Chordata; Mammalia; Primates; Cercopithecidae
Description: lncRNA (ENSPTEG00000025309.1)
Source: RNAcentral